CAGGAUGUCGGAUUAUUGGGCGUAAGCGCGCGCAGGCGGUCAUUUAAGUCUGGUGUUUAAUCCCGGGGCUCAACCCCGGAUCGCACUGGAAACUGGGUGACUUGAGUGCAGAAGAGGAGAGUGGAAUUCCACGUGUAGCGGUGAAAUGCGUAGAUAUGUGGAGGAACACCAGUGGCGAAGGCGACUCUCUGGGCUGUAACUGACGCUGAGGCGCGAAAGCGUGGGGAGCAAACAGGAUUAGAUACCCUGGUAGUCCACGCCGUAAACGAUGAGUGCUAGGUGUUAGGGGUUUCGAUACCCUUGGUGCCGAAGUUAACACAUUAAGCACUCCGCCUGGGGAGUACGGUCGCAAGACUGAAACUCAAAUGAAAUUGACGGA
This 379-nucleotide ribosomal RNA is filed under the name Paenibacillus xylanilyticus. Its description in RNAcentral is "bacterial SSU rRNA". It matches the Rfam family "Bacterial small subunit ribosomal RNA", at positions 539 to 917 of the family's 1533-position model. The record is from RNAcentral. Lineage: Bacteria; Bacillati; Bacillota; Bacilli; Caryophanales; Paenibacillaceae.